UACGAAGGGGGCUAGCGUUGCUCGGAAUCACUGGGCGUAAAGGGUGCGUAGGCGGUCCGUUAAGUCGGAAGUGAAAUCUCAAGGCUCAACCUUGAAAUCGCUUUCGAUACUGGCGGACUUGAGGCAGGUAGGGGAAGGUGGAAUUCCUGGUGUAGCGGUGAAAUGCGCAGAUAUCAGGAGGAACACCGGUGGCGAAGGCGGCCUUCUGGGCCUGUUCUGACGCUGAGGAGCGAAAGCAUAGGGAGCGAACAGG
Molecule: ribosomal RNA, 253 nt
Filed under: uncultured bacterium
Lineage: Bacteria
Description: partial 16S ribosomal RNA
Rfam family: Bacterial small subunit ribosomal RNA
Source: RNAcentral